UCCUGUUGCCUCAUAUCCUCACCAGUAUUUGGCACUGAUAGAGUGGUGACUUCCAAGCUUCAUGCAGAACCGGACAACAGAAAUUGAGAGGGAAAUUUCUAUGACAGAAGAGAGAAAGAAGAAAAUUGCUGGAAUAAUGACCUUGAAUAGAGGAAAUGGGAUAUCAUCUGGUAAGCAAAUAGAGAAGCUGGCUUUAGAUAAGAGCCUGGACAAUUCAUUCAUAGAAUAGCAGAAAAGGCAGAAUUUAUGUCCAUAGAUGCAAGUGGUAUAGUAGAUAUAGUGAUGGGAGUUUGUAAAAGUUACCUUCUAAUUGCUAUUUUUUUUAAUGAAAUAAGAAACAAAGUCAUCAACUCAAAGUGAGUAAUAUGUAGGAGGUGAUUAUUGUUUGAGGAGAG
RNAcentral lists this long non-coding RNA (395 nucleotides) under Homo sapiens (human). RNAcentral describes it as "non-protein coding LINC00630:41". Lineage: Eukaryota; Metazoa; Chordata; Mammalia; Primates; Hominidae. The record is from RNAcentral.